AAAGAAAUAGAAUGAAAGUGAAGUGAAGGAGAUAAAAGAAAAGAACAAGAAGAAGAGAAUCAACAGUAACACGGAUUAGACCCGUCAAGUGGCAUUGUAUUGCAUUUUUUUUUACCUC
RNAcentral lists this non-coding RNA (118 nucleotides) under uncultured Nitzschia. The record is from RNAcentral. Lineage: Eukaryota; Bacillariophyta; Bacillariophyceae; Bacillariales; Bacillariaceae.